UUACAAAAAGAAAGGGAUGCCAAUAA
Molecule: non-coding RNA, 26 nt
Filed under: Homo sapiens (human)
Lineage: Eukaryota; Metazoa; Chordata; Mammalia; Primates; Hominidae
Source: RNAcentral